Molecule: long non-coding RNA, 362 nt
Filed under: Phoenix dactylifera (date palm)
Lineage: Eukaryota; Viridiplantae; Streptophyta; Magnoliopsida; Arecales; Arecaceae
Description: long non-coding RNA (PDAC_LNC006166)
Source: RNAcentral
UCUCUUGUUCACGGAUUGAUUCCAACCUCCAGAAUCCCAGCAACGUAUCAACUUCCCGUGAUCAGCUCUCGCAUGAAUCCCGUGUUCUUAUCUCCCUUGCUUCGGAACAGCCACAGGAGGUAAAACAGGGGGCUGGUAAAGCUAUAUAAAGAGGGAAGUUCUGAUCGAAGGGGGCAUUCCAGGGGAGCCGGCUGAUCCCAUCCAUCCUUUGGAGGAGUUCCCAUGGGAGACAGAUGAGGGAGGAAAGAACCAGAGACGGGAGAAUGAAAGAAGAGAUGCAAGCCUCCUGUGCUGCUGCCGUCCACCACUACAUGGAAGCCUAAGCUCAUCACUAGGAUAGUUGAAGCCCUAACAAAGGGACA